GGAUGUGAGGGCGAUCUGGCUGCGACAUCUGUCACCCCAUUGAUCGCCAGGGUUGAUUCGGCUGAUCUGGCUGGCUAGGCGGGUGUCCCCUUCCUCCCUCACCGCUCCAUGUGCGUCCCUCCCGAAGCUGCGCGCUUGGUCGAAGAGGACGGCCUUCCCCGAAUAGAGACGGACCGGUCUUCGGUCGAGGGUAUACGAGUAGCUGCACUCCCCUGCUAGAACCUCCAAACAAGCUCUCAAGAAUACUAGUGGAAAAGUUUAGUGAAACUCAAAACAAGAACUAUAGUUAAUAGUAUUCUAGUUUU
Molecule: unclassified non-coding RNA, 305 nt
Organism: Erinaceus europaeus (western European hedgehog)
Lineage: Eukaryota; Metazoa; Chordata; Mammalia; Eulipotyphla; Erinaceidae
Gene: 7SK
Rfam family: 7SK RNA
About the family: 7SK was discovered as an abundant small nuclear RNA in the mid-70s but a possible function has only recently been suggested.
Source: Ensembl